GGAUUAGAUACCCUGGUAGUCCACGCCGUAAACGAUGGAUACUCGGUGUUCGACCAAUUGAGGUUGAGUGCCCAAGGGAAACCGCUAAGUAUCCCACCUGGGGAGUACGUCCGCAAGGAUGAAACUCAAAGGAAUUGACGGGGGCCCGCACAAGCGGUGGAGCAUGUGGUUUAAUUCGAUGAUACGCGAGGAACCUUACCUGGGCUCUAAUGCCUCGGACACCCCUUGAAAGAGGGUUUUCCUUCGGGACCGAGUGCAAGGUGCUGCAUGGUUGUCGUCAGCUCGUGCCG
Molecule: ribosomal RNA, 290 nt
Filed under: uncultured bacterium
Lineage: Bacteria
Description: partial 16S ribosomal RNA
Rfam family: Bacterial small subunit ribosomal RNA
Source: RNAcentral